AAAAAUCAAUUAAAAUUAAAGUUAUUUAGUCAUUUUUUUUUUCAAAUAUGAUAUUUAGAGUGUGAUUAAUACUAUGAAAAUCAUAAGUACAAAACUCUGUGAUUUGAACACGAAGAGUUUUGAGUCGAAGUUCGUACUCAUCCUUGAGCAGCCAAGCAUUGUCUAUUCUCGAGUUGUACUACCUUUGUGGAUGCAAAUUUUCUCCUCUUCAAUCUUGGACGAUUUUGCACAUACAAAACAACUAGCACAUUAGGUUAAGGCCAAGAGCCUCACGCGCCCACGAUGAUUGGGGGGCUUUGGCCGAAGAACCUCCGAUGCCAAGUUAGAAUUUAGAGAGAAAUAGUGUUUAGAGAAUUUUGGGAUUUUUGCCAAAGUGUUGGAAUUUUUUUGCUUUUUGGUGAGAAUGGGAGUAUAUUUAUAGGAAUAGGAGGUGGCUAGGGUUUUUAGGUUUAAUUUAGGUUUAAUUAGCCAAUUUAUUUGGCUAUUAAACAUAAGAUGAAUGUUUUGGUGGUUUUUGAAUUUAUUGGGUAAUAAAAAGGAAGAAAUGGUGAAAAAGGUAGAAAAAAGUGAUGGAUUAGGUUUUGAAAUGGGGAUAGCCGGCCAUGUGGUGUUUUAAGGUUGAAUUGGAUGUAUUUUGUAGUUAUUUGGAUAUAAUGGAUGGUUUAAUUGACAAUUAAUGGGUUAAUUAGGCAAUAAACCCAUUAAUUAGCCAAUUAACAUAAUUUAAAAGGAAUGUGUUUGGGAAUUACCUUGUAGAAAGGAUUUGAUGAGAUGGACUUUGAAUUGUUACCUAUUUUGGGCACUUCUGUCUUGGUUGAAAGAGGGUUGUCCGCUGCUUGCGCGUAGGAACCUCGUUGUACUGCAAGGGUAUUUUUGUCAUUUUUGUCCAAAAAUCCACGUGUCGCCCUAUGAAUAUUUUUGGCUCCACAAAUGCCCCCACACCUGUUGGGCUGCUCGCAGAAAAGGGCAGCAGGUGUAGAGAUCUUCUUGCUUUAGGAAACUUAGGACUGCUUCCUAUUUUGAUGUAGAUUCUCUCUUUAAUAGGAAAUUAGAUCCUUCUAGGAAAGGGAAAUAAAUUUCUCUCAAAGCCUAUUUAAAUCCACCUUAAGUGGGUUAUUAAAUCAACUUUGGAGAGCGAUUUAUUCUACCCUACAAGAGAGAGAUAGCUUAGAGGAUAUUUGUUCCCCCUCCUCUAGCAAUCUUCUACAUCUUGCCCGUGCAAAGGACCGUCUUUCGUUGAUUUCUUCGUCUUCUUCGUGGAUAGUGCUACCGCGGGGCAGCCGUCGGGGUGGUGCGGCACGUCGGCUGGCAUGGGCCAGGAGUCGACUCGGCAUGGGCCGAUGAGGUAUUGUGGCAGGGACCACUGCUUUAAGCUGCUCGACUUGGCUAGAACCAAGGGCAGCUUGUGUGGCUGGGACCUCGGAUUGUGGCACUGGGGCGCAGUGUUAGGCAAGUCACAUGGCUCAUGUCUUUUUAGGCUUUUGGACAUGACUCGAGCUAGGCUGGUGAUUGAGAGAAAUGAAGAGGUUGCGAACCUCAUGAACUGCUGGAAUGUUGGGUUGAACUUCCCUGCUAGGUACCACGAAUGACGUUGGCUACUUUAACUCUUUUCGUCAGGAGAAACGUGGGCUAUUCCCAAAAGAUGAGGGGAAUAGGAUCAAAGCGGAUGCUCUGGCUCGUCCAAUCACUGUUGUGGAUCAUGCUGCAAGUGAAGGUGGGAAAAUGGAUCUUCUCUGCUCGCUCAAGAGAUGCCGGCUGAGAAAAAACCAAAGACUUAUUUCGUUGCUCAUGAGGGUUCGCUUGCUACCAAGAGGUAUGUGAUUGACAUGACUUCUUCCAAUGGGAAGAAAUGUAAGGCUGCUAGAUAUGAGCAUGUGGCGUCUUCCAUGUUGAGAAUGGAUAGUACAAUUGUGGAUAAGAUUACUCAGCGUAAAGGUUUUAUCAUGCCCCCAGUGCCGAAGUCUGUACCAGGACGUUCUUUGGGAGCCAAGUCCGGUUCACCUUUGUAGAGACUUGCUAUUAUGAAGAGUGGUAAGGUGGACUCUGCUGCUAAAGUGGCGCCAAAGCCUGCUCCCUUUGCUGCUGAGAUUGAUUCGCCUCAGAUUCAAGAUCUUAAGCUUGCAAUUUCUGAGCUUCGUUUCGCUACUUAUGCUAAGAAGAGAGUGGAUGAGCUGCAGCGCGUCCGUGUUAGUUUGCUUAAGAAGAAUGAGAAACUGAAGGGUGAGAAGGAUGGGCUUGAGGUUUUAAGACCUUCUCUAAUUCUCCGGAAGACUUGCUUGCUUUUACUUUUAAAGCUUCCAUUGGUGAAGUAGUUGGAGAAGUUAGUGCCCAGACUGGGGCAGCCAGGGGUGAAGCGUCGGAUGAUGCCGCUGCUAAGAGCGUUACGGUUGUUGAAGGUGUGGCGACCGAGUAGUCGUGGGAUGUCCAAGCUGCUGUAGUGUAGUAUUUUAGGUAGCCUUUAGGAUUUUCUUUAUUUUUCCUUGUAGCUUUUGUUUUGCUUGAACUCCUUCGGCCUUUGCUAGUUGUUUAUAAACAUGUUUUCCUUCGUUUUUCUUCAUCUUCACUUCUUUUGUUCAUGCCCUAACCUUUAGACUUGAUAGACAAGUGGCAGGCAUGCUACUUUUUUAUAAGCAGACAAACUCGCGUAGCCUAUGCAGCCGUAGGUGUUGGUGUAGAACUUUGCAAAGUUGUUAGCCAUAGGGUUGGCAGCCGGAUGCCUUACUUACAGAAGCAGACAAGUCCGCGUAACCACUAGGCUGUUAACCUUGACUUUCUUCAAUUCCGUAGGUUGCGUAGCAAGUAUCACAACACUUUAGGACUUGGUGUAGGUUGUUCCGCGCUUGGCAGAGGUGAAGCUUAUCGACUACGUAGCAUGUCGGCAAUGGAUAAAACUUCGUAUAUGCGCGCUAGCUUGUUUAACCUUUCACAAGAAUGUGCGGUUGUAUAAGUCUAGUGUGGCUUCACUGCUCGAAGGGCAAGCCGUAGGCAAUCUUCCGGAAUCCGUAGGCUACCUUAGUGCACUCGGUAGCAGCUUUAGGAUUCCAGGGCAGUCGUCCAUCGGAUGUACUGCGUAAUGUGCCAUCUCCGUCUCUAGGGCCCGGUUCCCCACGGAUUAGGCCAAGAGACCCAAAAUCCUUCAGUUAGCUAAGCCUUGAAAAAGACCAUUGCGGCUACUUCUAGGAAUCCCGGCGCAAGCCAUCGUGCAUCUAGUUAUACUAGGGCAGCCAGGCUCAUCCACGUCUGGAUAUUCGGAGUGUAAAGUUUAUCCUCCCGUCUUGGAGAGCUGACCCAUAUGGGUGUCGGAGAAUUGGUUUACCCUCUCGCACUGGAGAGCAUGGUUGGUCCCUCGGGGGCGCAAUUCCUGCGAUGAGUCCCUAAGAAGGGCGCAGUCUUCUUUUGAAGUGCAGGAGUGAUUAGUUGUUGUAAGCAUGCAACCAAGCCAAGUUGUGAUUACUUCUAAAUUCCUCAUUGAAAAACGAGUGAAACGAACAAGAACUUUAGUUGUAAGGUAGGAACUGCAUAACAACCGGAUAGUCCUCAGCUUGUGAGGUGGUGCCCGUCGAGCUUAUUGAGUCUUCGGGUUUUGAUGUAGCGGGAGGUCACGCAUGGUACUUCUUCAGAUUGUAGGCCAUCCAUUUCUUUUCAAUCUUUUUGCCGCUUCAUGGUGGUGAGGGUGUAAUUACUCUUGCCCCCUACUCUGCUGAUCUUGUACGGACCUUCCCAGAUGGGAUCCAUCUUUUUUGAGCCUUCUCUGCCGGCAGUGAUGAAGGCUUUUCUGCGUCGUCGACAUGCAAAUGCCAGAAGUCUCCAUCGGGUGGAGUAGGCACAGCUAGAGUGUGCUCGGCUACUUCUGAGGCAUCGUUGGGCCGAGUUGUUGCGUUCGUCAGAAAACUUUACAUCUGCCAGGGUCUACGCCUUUAUCGUCGCCGGUUUGGAUUCGGCGGAAUAGUGCGUCAUGAUGAUGACUGCAGGUAACUGUAGAAUACAGGUAGUCGGGCCCCCAGCUCUUCUCGCAUGAUGGUAGAGCUUAUUGCUACUUUAGAUACCGUCAAACAUGCGAAUAAGUCCUCCGCUGCUUCUAGGGAGGUGAUGUCGGGUACUUCUUCAAGUCCUUGAAUGUGCAUUGGCGAGCCUCAUCCCAAAGUGCAUGUUUCUCUGCUAAAGCAAAAGAGUCUGCCAGAGUUAGAUCUUCUUUCAUGAUCAAUUUUCCGAAUAGCGGGUGGUCUGCUGGAAGUCCUUUUUGGAAAGCUGCUCUAGCUAUCGAGUCAUUGCAUCCGACUAUUUUUGCCUUCUCUACUUUGAACCUCCUCACGUAAUCGCGAAGCGACUCUUUUGGGUUUUUCUUUACGUUGAACAGGUGAUCGGACUUCUUAUUGAUCGAUCGAUAAGAUGAGUAUUCUUUGGUGAAAACCAAGGAAAGAUCAUCAAAAUUCUGGAUGGAUCGUGCCGGCAAGGUAUGAAACCAAUCUUGUGCCUCGCCUUGUAAAGUAGUGGCGAAUAUUUUGCACAUAAAGGCGUCAUUAUUCCGAUAAAGGACCAUCGCACUUCGGUAAUGCUUCAAGUGUCUUUCCGGGUCUUCAUCCCUUUUAAAAGAUGUGAAAUGUGGCAUGCUGAAAUCGCGUGGAGGCUCUGCCUGCUCAAUCUCCUCCGUGAAGGGUGACCUGCUUAUGUUGGUUAUGUUCCGUCGUAGUGCCUCGUCGGUGACCUCGUUGCGUUGGAAAUCAUGCAAUCGCUUGGUCAAGAGUCUCUCUACUUCUUCCUGAAUUUGCCUUUGUUGGGGUAGCGGAGCUCUCGGCUGCCCCCAGUCAUGACUUGCUGGUCUAGGCUACUCUUCCAUGUGUUUAGCUCGUCUAUGCCGCGGAUGCAGUGCAUGUGAUGCGUUCCUAGUAGGCGAGCGAGUUCUUCGCAUGCUGCUGGUUGAACUUGAGCUAGAUUGAGUGACUGCUUCUCUCCGUCCGUCGUGCUGCCUACUCUGAUGUGAGGUGGAUGACACUCCUUGUGGGCUUAGCUGCGAAUAGACACUUUGCCCGGAAGGUUGUUCAUGUUGACUAUCGGAGUAUAACCCCAACCGUGAAUGUAUGCUCCUCCGUGGGCCUAGUCGAGAGUGCAUGCUCCUUCGCGCUCUAAGACGGGAAUGUACACUGCCCAAACGUUCGGCUCGUGGCUGCUUGCCGGGAUGCUGCUGGAAAUGUCCGUCUGCCCUUGUCCUACUUCGGGAUACCUCGUCCGGGGCACGUUGGAUCCCAAUGUGUUGCAAAAGUUGAUUCACCAAGGUUGUCUGUUGUGCAAGGGCGCUCGUCAACUCUAUGACUUGUCGAGACAAGUGUUGUUCGCCAUUUGGAUUGGAAGAGCUUGGAAGGAAUGUGCCUCCUUGGGUAGUGAAAUGGUGGUAGACUUCGGGCGCGAGAUUUGAGUUGGGAAAUGUCAAACCCGCGAAAAAAUGUGGUGAGAAUGCCCCCGGUUCGAUGGUAGGUCCGGAUGGUUGAGAUAGUCUUGGGCCGACUUGGGCUGCUUGGAAAGCCACUGGAGCAGGAUAGGCAGUGAGAGUGGGCUGCUCGUCGGGAGCAGGCUGGGUCACGGGAAUGGGCUGCUCGACGGAAGCAGGUUGGGCCACGGGAGUCGGCUGCUUGACGGAAGCAGGCUAGACCACGAGAGUGGGCUGCUCGUCGGGAGCAGGUUGGGUCACGAGAACAGGCUGCUUGGCAGGAGCAGGAUGGGCCACGGGAGUGGGCUGCUUGAUGGAAGCAGGCUGAACCACGGGAGUGGGCUGCUCAUCGGCAGCAGGCUGGGUCACGAGAGCAAGCUGCUUGGCAGGAGCAAGCUGGGCCGCGAUAGCAAGUUGCUUGGCGGGAGCAGGCUGGGCCACGGGAUUGGGCUGCUCGACGGAAGCAGGCUGGACCACGAGAGUGGGCUGCUCGUCGGGAGCAGGCUGGACCACCGGAGUGGGCUGCUCGUCGGGAGCAGGCUGAGUCACGAGAGCAGGCUGGGCCACGGGAGUGGGCUGCUCGACGGAAACAGGCUGCUCAAUGCACGGUGCAUGUGAAUGCGAGGCUUGGACUUAGGUCCAUGUAAACUUGGAUGACACGGCUUGGGUCGUGGUCUUAGUACCGUGAGCCUUGGAUGGCACGACUCGGGCCGUGGUGAAGGCUCCAUGGACCUCGCCACAAGUGGCUACCGAAGUAGCCACCGCGGUGGUUCCCAUGGUGGCCGUGGUGAAGGCACCAUGGACCUCGCUGCGGGUGGCUACCGAGGUAGCCACCACGGUGGUUCCCAUUGUAGAAGCUUGUGGUGAUGAUGCCGCUCCCCUUAUUGUCGCAUUUUGCCUCACGGAUCUCCGGGCCGUGGUGAAGGCUCCAUGGACCUCGCCACGAGUGGCUACCGAAGUAGCCACCGCGGUGGUUCCCAUGGUGGCCGUGGUGAAAGCACCAUGGACCUCGCCGCGGGUGGCUACCGAGGUAGCCACCACGGUGGUUCCCAUGGUGGAAGCUCGUGAUGAUGAUGCCGCUCCCCUUAUUGUCGCAUUUAGCCUCACGAAUCUCCGCAAUCCCAUUUCUUGAACAUUAGAAUUUUCACUCGUGGAAUUUUCUAAAUUUCUAGCCAUUAUAUUUUGCUUAUACGUUUUAUCAAAGAACCUUUGCAAAUAAAAAAUUCUAAUAAUAAGAACGUAUGAAAAAUAUUCAAAUGGACUAGAAAAUAAAGAAAAAACCUUUUUUGUGCGAGAGUCUUCUACGAGUAUGGAUUUCAACUCUCAAUGAAAGCACCAAUUUGUGGAUGCAAAUUUUCUCCUCUUCGAUCUUGGACGAUUUUGCACCUACAAAACAACUAGCACCUUAGGUUAAGGCCAAGAGCCUCACGCGCCCACGAUGAAUGGGGGGCUUUGGCCGAAGAACCUCUGAUGCCAAAGUUAGAAUUUAGAGAGAAAGAGUGUUUAGAGAAUUUUGGGAUUUUGGGAUUUUUGCCAAAGUGUUGGAAUUUUUUUGCUUUUUGGUGAGAAUGGGAGUAUAUUUAUAGGGAUAGGAGGUGGCUAGGGUUUUUAGGUUUAAUUUAGGUUUAAUUAGCCAAUUUAUUUGGCUAUUAAACAUAAGAUGAAUGUUUUGGUGGUUUUUGAAUUUAUUGGGUAAUAAAAAGGAAGAAAUGGUGAAAAAGGUAGAAAAAUGUGAUGGAUUAGGUUUUGAAAUGGGGAUAGCCUGCCAUGUGGUGUUUUAAGGUUGAAUUGGAUGUAUUUUGUAGUUAUUUGGAUAUAAUGGAUGGUUUAAUUGACAAUUAAUGGGUUAAUUAGGCAAUAAACCCAUUAAUUAGCCAAUUAACAUAAUUUAAAAGGAAUGUGUUUGGGAAUUACCUUGUAGAAAGGAUUUGAUGAGAUGGAUUUUGAAUUGUUACCUAUUUUGGGCACUUCUGUCUUGGUUGAAAGAGGGUUGCCCGCUGCUUGCGCGUAGGAACCUCGUUGUACUGCAAGGGUAUUUUUGUCAUUUUUGUCCAAAAAUCCACGUGUCGCCCUAUGAAUAUUUUUGGCUCCACAACCUUGAUAAAUAUGGCAUACUCCUAUAUAUGUUUCCUUUUUGGGUUAACUAGUUCUUGAUUGUCAUUUAUUUAUCAAAUAAAUUUGUGUUAUGCAUCAGGGAGGAGAUGUUGGCACACAAUACCGAUCCGGAAUCUACUACUACAACGAAAACCAGGCUCGGCUGGCCGAGGAAUCGAAGGAAGCUAAGCAGGCGGAGUUGAAGGAUAAGAAGGUGGUGACGGAGAUCCUCCCGGCAAAGAAAUAUUACAGGGCGGAGGAAUACCAUCAACAGUAUCUCGAAAAAGGAGGAGGUAAAGGCAACAAACAAUCUGCCGAGAAGGGUUGCACUGAUCCUAUCAGAUGCUAUGGUUGAUAAGUUAUGCAUGCAUUUGAUGCCAUAUGAUUAAAAAUAUUCCUAAAUCGUUGUCACCAACGAUAACAUACGGUGCGUUAAUAUCUACCGUAUCUUAGAUAAAUGAGGUUCGGAGUGAAACUGAAAAUGUACGCAUGAAACACUGUCGCAUUUAAUAGUAUCAUUUGGCACUUAUGUACCCAUAUCGUUUAUGCACAUUUGGCGUCAUGUUUUUAUAUGUCGAAGCUUCUUUUGUACGAGUUUUCGGGUUUAAUUUUCCUACUUGCUUGAUAAAUAAACAAGGUAGAACCAUAAACUCAUGUGCUCACUCAACAUUCAUAAAGGUUUUAAGGUAUCACAGUAUCUUUACCGGUCUAUAAGAUCCACUAGUCCUACCACGAAUGGUAAAAUAGCAAGAUUGUCGAUUGCCAUGGUCAUACAACAUACGCUAACCUCACCCCCAGGGUAUUGGCUAGUAGAUUCUUACCCCUCCGGAGGUUUAAAGGAUCGAAUCUUAUGGUCAACCUGUAAGUGAACUCUUACUCAAGUCAUCACACAAAUAAUACUGCUUAUGUCACAUAAAAAAGAUUAGUACUUUAUGGAGUCAAGACCAGCUUCCUGUUUCCUCAUUUGCACUUAAGUUUGAACCUCCAUUUUUUUUUUGGUAAAGUUUGAACCUCCUUCUUAGUGCACCAACAAAAAAAAAAGCAUGGUAAAAUAGCGAGAUUGUCAAUUGCCAUGGUCAUACAACAUACGCUAACCUUACCCGCAUGGUAUUGGCUAGUAGAUUCUUACCCCUCCGAAGGUUUAAAGGAUCGAAUCUUACAAUCAACCUGUAAGUGAACUCUUACUAUUAAGUCAUCACACAAAUAAUACUGCUCAAGUCACAUAAAAAAUAUUAGUACUUUAUAGAGUCAAGACCACCUUCCCGUUUCCUCAUUUGUACUUAAGUUUGAACCUCCUUGGUUGGUAAAGUUUGAACCUCCUCCUUGCUACACCAACAAAAAAGAAAAAAAAGUAUUAAUUUGAAAGUGUAAAAACAGGAACGACCGGAUUCGAACCUCUGCGGGCAAGCCCACAUAAUUUAUAGUCACGCCCGAUAACCAAUCCGGCACGUCCACCGAUGUCACUUUUAUUGUGCAAUGAUUUUUAAUUAAAACAAUAAAAAACAAAUAAUGCUAUCCACAUUUAUUUAUUUUUGUAUAUACUUUGUUAAUUUUUACUUAUUAAUUUAUUUUAAUUAAAUUUAUUUAAUGGAUGAAAAUUAAUAACAAUAUUUAAGAAAUAAAAAUAAGUGUAUAAAUAGUAUUAACGGUCAACGUACUGUAGAAAAACAACAUAUGAAUACCGACGUGUGGUUGUAAGCCGUUAGCAACGUCUGUAUCUGGCCGGCUAUGGCUGCUAGAUUCAACUACCACACCUCUUCAUAACAGUCCAUCCACUCCCACUCCUCCACAAAAUUCAAUCAGCAAGAAUAAUGGCCGCCGCUUCCGAUAAUUCCGCUGUCAACAACCCGGCUCUGGGCCCGGACUCGGAUACUCCGGACAAUCCGGGUCACGAAUUCGCUCAGUUCGGAUCCGGGUGCUUCUGGGGAGCGGAGCUGAGGUUCCAGCGAGUUGUAGGGGUGGUGAAGACCGAGGUCGGGUACUCCCAGGGCCAUGCGGACGAUCCCAAUUACAAAUUGGUGUGCACCGGAACCACGAACCAUGCGGAGGUGGUUCGGGUCCAGUUUGACCCGGAAGUCUGCCCCUACAAGGAUCUGCUCACUGUGUUUUGGGAUCGCCAUGAUCCAACGACGCUCAAUCGCCAGGUAAUUGGUUUUUGAGUUUUAUGGGCCGUUGAUUUUGUAGCCUGAUCCGGUAUUUUGUUCGCGCCUUCUGCUUUUGACGUAUGGAGUUUUACUUUUGUGCUUAUCAUUGCUUUUGAAUUUAAUCUCUGGCCCUAAAAGACAAAAGUAAAACAACAACAAUUUUGUUUUAUGAUUUUGCCAGUCUCUUAAGAAUUUUUAAAAAUGAUUUCAAAAUAUUUUUGAUAAACGUGUUUUUGAAAUCAAUACUUAGUAAAAAUACAAAUAAAUUAUGAAAAAAGCGGCUGAAGCACUUCUUACAAAAGGCAUAUAAUUGAUGCUUGUUGCAGAAAUACUUCAAGUGAUUUUGGAUCCUAAAAACCUUUUCACCAAAAGUGGUUUUAAUAAUUUUAAAAACACUUCUAAAUGAGCCCUUAAUGAUUGAUAUAUUUCAGCUAAAUUUGUGUUUUUAGGGGAAAAUAAAACUGAAAGGACAUUAAAUAAAAGACACAAGAGUAUUUAAUAUGGAGGUCGUAACUCAAUUGGUAAAUAACAUUUUACCGUUAUUAUGUAGAUUUUGCGUUUGAUUUCAGAUCCCUUAACAUCACUUGUAAAAAGAAAGAGUACUAUACUGCGACUUAUACACAUGUUAUCGCUUGUCUAGUAUCCAAAUUUUAUUUUUAAUUAAAAAUUUGUAACAGAUAUUAUUUGUGUGCAUUUCUCAAAAAUUAUGUGAUGGAGCAAUAACUAGUACAAGGGUGAUUAUGGUAAUAACAUGGGAGCAUUGAAUCAAUGGAUGGUUGCUGACUUGCUUGUGAAUUGAAACAGAAUGGAUGAAUUAACAAUUAAGCAGGCAAGUGAAACUUGAUGUGACAUGUGAUUGAGAUGGGCUCAAGUUGUUCUCGAGAAAUAAUUCAAAUCUGCUCAAAAUUAUUCCUUGCCGAUUUAUAGAAUUUUGUAUUUUUUACUAGAACUGUUCUAAAGUUAUUUAGUCUUUUUUUCUUUCAAAUAUGAUAUUUAGAGUGUGAUUAAUAACAUGAAAAUCAUAAGCACAAAACUCUGUGAUUUGAACACGAAGAGUUUUGAGUCGAAGUUCGUAUUUAUCCUUGAGUAGCCAAGCAUUGUCUAUUCUCAAGUUGUACUACCUUGACAAAUAUGGCAUACUCCUAUAUAUGUUUCCUUUUUGGGUUAACUA
RNAcentral lists this long non-coding RNA (10834 nucleotides) under Malus domestica (apple). RNAcentral's name for it is "long non-coding RNA (MDOM_LNC006279)". Lineage: Eukaryota; Viridiplantae; Streptophyta; Magnoliopsida; Rosales; Rosaceae. The record is from RNAcentral.